AAAACAAAUGCAAAACCUGCAGCAUUUUUCGGGAAUUGAUUCUCUGUACAUAAAAAUGAGAUUAGUCAAUCCUUUUGGUGUCUGUUUAGCAUACAAUGAGUACAUCCAGAUAGUUAAGACCCUUGGAAUCAAGAUUAAGAGAACCAUCAAUUAAGGAGGCAGUGCCCACCUCUCCAGGGAAAUUUACUUCAGUGCUUUAUCCUACCUGAUUGGACACAGCCGACCGUGUUGGUCCUGGUUCCCUUGUCAAAUGCUGGCUCCUGGAAAUAGCAUCAAAGCAAGCAGCUGAUAAGACAAACUAGGUUGUUACUUAUGCUAAGGGGAAGCACCACCUUGAAAGAGUCAUUGUAGAGUGGAAGUGGGGAGGGCAAAGUUGAGAUACUGAGGUUUUGGGGUUUGGUUUAAGGCAGGUCCUUUGAUGUCGGACUUAAUCAGGGCUGGGUAAGGAUCAUGUUAUAAUAGUUUAGGAUUGUUGGUCACAGUUUUGUAUUGGUGGUCACGGUGAAGUGAGGGCUUCAAAGACUCUUUGAGCUUUCUUUGAUGCUCCCUGUUGAAGAGCUGUGUGGUUUUAUUAAUGGAUUUUCCUGAACUCAAGGAGUAAGGUUAUUUGCAACUUUUGUCUUUCUGGGCAAGCAUUUCCUGGAAUAAUAAAGUCACAAUAAUAGA
Molecule: long non-coding RNA, 666 nt
Filed under: Pan troglodytes (chimpanzee)
Lineage: Eukaryota; Metazoa; Chordata; Mammalia; Primates; Hominidae
Description: lincRNA
Source: RNAcentral